UUUUUUUUUUUUUUUUGUCUUUUUGCCUUUUCUUGAGCCACUCUCUCGGCAUAUGGACGUUCCCAGGCUAGGGGUCUAAUCAAAGCUGUAGCCGCCAGCCUAUACCACAGCCACAGCAACGCCAGAUCUGAACCGUGUCUGCAACCUACACCACAGCUCAGGGCAACGCCGGAUCGUUAACCCACUGAGCAAGGCCAGGGAUCGACCCCACAACCUCAUGGUUCCUAGUCAGAUUCGUUAACCACUGAGCCACAACGGGCACUCCUGAAUUUGCCUCUUGAGAACAGUGAUCUGAAGAAUACAUUGUGGUUUUAUUCUUCUUAUUACAAGAGGUCUGGAGGAGGCAGCCUGGGGCUGCUGAGGCAGGUCAGUGAUGUCAUCGGCGUCUUUCCACCCAGCCAUCUUGAGUGUGGGCUUGUUGCCUCAGGGUCCCAAGUGGUGGAUCUGUGUCCCGCAUUGUGGGCAACAUGGGAGAAAGAAAAAGAAAGGGCAAAGCACAGAGGGAAGUCGACCGUCUCCUAAGACCUUUCCCCACAGCCCCGAUUUGUUACUUCCUUGGCCUGCUCUGUCACAUGACUUCCUCUAUGUGAAAAGGAGGCAGGGAAAUGUAGGGGUUUUUUUUUGGCUAUACCCCAGCAUGCAGAAGUUUCUCAUGCCAGGGAUUGAAUCUGUGCCACAGCAGGGACCAGAGCCACAGCAGCCACAACUGGAUCCUUAACCUGCUUGGCCACGGGGCAACGCCUGGAAAUGUUUUAUUAGUGGACCACUCAGCUGUCUUUUAUAAAAUCAGGGUUCUGUUAGGAAAAAAGAAGAAAAUGGCUCUUGGGUUGGGCAACUCAUAUUCUCAGCAGUGAGAACCUUGUCAAAACCAAGAAACAGUGCAGCAUUGCCAUUUUAUGUUUGGCAAUGAAAACAGAACCAAGACAUGUAUAAGCUUUGUCUUACUGUAAUUUUCCAACUUAGGCUAUAUCCAGUGUAAACGAAGAUUAUCCUGAACGAGAUGGCAGGAUCUAGUUCAAUUUUUAUCAAUGGAAAACUCUUUCAGACCCCAUUCCAUGGUGAUGGUUUUGACUGGACUCUACCUGACAGUCCAUGGAACAUCUCACAUCACCCGACACUUGCUUGGGUUGAAACAAACCAUGAAUGACAAAAUUUAAAACUGCUUUCACAAAGACGGUUUGCUAAGUAACAGAAAAGACACUGGGGGGAAAAAAACCCUUGAGCUGCUCUAAGUUUAGCAAACAUCAAAUGACAAAUAUGUCAGUUUUCCAUAGAGAAACCAAAGAACCAUUUCUAUGUCCCUGGAAUCAAACGUGGCUGUGUGUGUUGGGUCAAGAGACGAGAGGACUGGAUUAGGUGACGGGAGCUCGAGACCUGGUCUCACCUCUUUCACUAACUAGCCAGGUGGUGUUCACCAAACAGCUCUAGGCAUGUCACCUCUCUAGCUUCAGUUUGGACAUCUGUGAAAAGGGGUUGGUCUCCAUCAGUGUUAUGUAAUUGAAAUAGUCUGUGAACCACAAAUGUAGACCACUUGUGCUCUUUUAAGAUUUUUAAUAGCCACAUUUAAAAAGUAAAAAGAAACAGUUGAAAUUAACCAUUUUUCCUGCUAAGCCUUGGACCUCAGUGUAUAUUUUACACAUAGAGCCCAUCUCAAUGCAGACUAGCCACAUGUCAAGUGCUCAGAGCUACACAUGGCGACUGACUACUGUUUUGAACUGUACUGUCCUGGAUGAGCUCCAGGGUUUCUUUCAGGUCUGACCCCUGGGGAUUCUAAACUUAGGCCCUCAACUUUCCUUCCUGAUUAAGGCUCUGAAUGUCACAGCCUCUCCUGCCCAAUGGCCAUCCUGCCUGUGGUAUUUUGAUUUAUAAGAAAAAUGUAGGCUUGACCCUUGAACAACAUGGAGUUGAAUUACAUGGUCCACUUAUAGGCAGAUUUUUUUUUCCCACUGAAUACAUACUUCAUACUGCACAAUCCGCAGUUGGUUGAAACCACAGAUGGAGGACUGGGCAUGAGGAGUGCUGACUGUAAAGUGAAGACCUGUAUUUUCUGUUCCCCUCAUCCCCACCCAAGUUGUUCAAGGGACAACUGUAUGUUUGGUCAUUCAGAUGACCAAAAUUUGUUUCUCAUGUUUGUUUGAGCUUUGUUCAAGUUUCUUACCUCAUAGCUACCAAAACCCUUGGAAUUUUCUGUUAAGAAUGAUACAGGUGUCUUUUGUUAAAUUACUGUGGUUAAUGCCUGUGGAUGGGGGCUGGUUGCCAGGAGAACCAACCAUGUGAUUAGAUGCUUGGACCUUUCAUUCCCAAUUCCUAACACGUGAGGAGGGUGAAUCAAUCACCAAUGGUCAAUGAGUUAAUUAAUCAUGCCUUUGUAAUGAAGCCUCCAUAAAACCAAAGGACAGGUUUGGGGAGCUUCUGGGUUGUUGAAUGUUUGGAGACUGGGGAGAAUGGUGUGCCUGCAGAGGGCACAGGAGCUCUGUGCUUCUUCGCUAUGCCUUGCCCUGGUUAUCUUUUCAUCUGUUCCUGAGUUAUGCCCUUUUAUGAUACACCCAUGUUCUAGUAAGUAAAAUGUUUCUUUGAGUUCUGUGACCUUCCCUAGCCAAUUAAGCCAACCGAGGAGGGGGUCGUGGGAACCACUGAUGGCCAGUUGGUCAGAAGUACAGGUGACACCCUGGGCUUACAAUUGAUUGGCAUCUGAGUCCCAGGAGGGGGGCCAUGGGAACUCCAAUUUGUAGCAAGUGGGUGAGAAGCCCAGGUAACAACGCCUGUGAUUGGUGUCUGAAGUGGGGGUGAGUCUUGUCGGACUGCACCUUUAAGUUUAGGCUAUUUCUGGGUUGAUAGUAUCAGCACCCAGUUGCAUUGUAGGGUAUUUCCCCCCAGCCCUGAUUUUGGAAAUGGGUCCAGAAACCUAGAAGACUACUCUAACCUGGACUGUAGCGCCCUCUGGUGUCAGGGGGAGGUACCAUUACUUUCCUGCAGCCUCCCCUCUCUGUCCUGUACUUGGCUUCUUUGUAAUCACUUCCUUUCUGCUUUUUCUCAGGUUAGCAUCCCAGGCCUCUCCCUGCUCCCUUCGUCCUGUCCCAUCGUGGCCCCGUAGAAACCAUAUCUCCCAAUCCUGCUUAUCUGGGCUGUUUAACAUUCCUUCAAUAUGGCAUUCCAUGACCUUUAAAAUCUUCAACCAAUAAAACAAAAUGUAAUGAUAUAGAUUUUUUCCCUCUCAUUACAAAAGAUGUAUUCAUGGGAAAACAAUUGGGACAUAUGGAAGACUAUAAAAAAGAAUAUAAAAAAAUCACUUGUAAUCCAAUCACUCUAAUCCAAAUGCUGCCAACAUUUUGAUGUGUUUUUCCCUCUGGUCUUUUUGGAAGCAUUUUGUAUACAUAACAAACGUGUUUUUAAUUUCUUUCCCCCCCCAUAAUUGAGCUCCUACAGAAUAUAUGGUUUUCUAUCUCACUUCUUUCACUUUUCAUUGUAUUAUAAUAAUACUUAAAUAUUGUUUGAAAACCGGAUUUGUAGUCGCUAAUGAAGUUCAGGGAGAGGCUGCAGGGCUCUUAUGCUGCUUGUUAAGACAGGGACUUGUAAAAGCUUAGUUCCUGUCUUGCUGCUUCUUUUUCCUCACCAGAGAGGUCUUGACCAAGAGAAUUACAGAUACGGGGAGCAGCAGCCAACUAUUUCAGUAAUAGCUCAGUGGGCACCUGCUACCAGCACUUCGUUGUUUCUGUGCUCAUUCAUCUCCUGAUCCCCCUUCCUGGAAUCUUAGAUGCUCUAGAUGGGCCUGUGGAGCUGACUUGGGCCUGACCGACUUAGUGGGCUCUGUGUGGCUUUGGGUAAAUGACUUAACCUCUCUGGGUAUUUCCUCAUCUGGGGAUAACAGCAGUGCUCACCCCAUGGGGUUUUGUACAGAUUAAGUGAGGGGAACCAAUAACAUGCUUAUCACAGUACCUGGCAGAUAAUGACCAAUAAAUGUUAGUUUUACCAUUUCCCUGUCAUUGGGCAUUUAUGUGAAACAUUUUUUCACUGUUAUAAACUAAUUGAUUUAUUGAUAUGAGUGCUUACUAGGUGCCAAGUAUUCUUCUAGAUGCUGGGAAUUACAUGGGAUACCUGUGACCAGACAGGUGUCAUCUUGUGGAGUUUAAAUUUUAGCGCAGAGACGUGACAAAUAAAGUAAGUUCACGUGGUGACAAAGGGCUACAGAUAAAAUCAAACAAGGUCAUGUACUGAGCUAAGGUGUGGCAACUUCAGGAAGGGUGGCCAGGGAGGACCUUUCUGAGUAGGUGACCUGAAUGACAAGGAGAUCUGGGAAAGGGCAAGAUGAAAGGCUCUGUAAGUAGGAGUUAACUUGGGGAGCUCGAUCAAAAUUCAGAAGUGGGAGUUCCUGUCGUGCGUGGCAGAAACAAAUUCCACUAGGAACCUUGAGGUUUUGGGUUCGAUCCCUGGCCUUGCUCAGUGGGUUCAGGAUCUGGCAUUGCCAUGAGCUGUGGUGUAGGUCGCUGACGUGGCUUGGAUCUGGCAUUGCUAAGGCAGUGGCUCUGAUUUGACCCUUAGCUUGGGAAUCUCCUUAUGCUUCGGGUUCAACACUAAAAAGCAAAGAAAAAAAAAA
Molecule: long non-coding RNA, 4594 nt
Filed under: Sus scrofa (pig)
Lineage: Eukaryota; Metazoa; Chordata; Mammalia; Artiodactyla; Suidae
Description: lncRNA (ENSSSCG00065006908.1)
Source: RNAcentral